CAGUCGCCACGGGAAUACGUAGGGUGCAAGCGUUAAUCGGAAUUACUGGGCGUAAAGCGUGCGCAGGCGGUUAUAUAAGACAGAUGUGAAAUCCCCGGGCUCAACCUGGGAACUGCAUUUGUGACUGUAUAGCUAGAGUACGGCAGAGGGGGAUGGAAUUCCGCGUGUAGCAGUGAAAUGCGUAGAUAUGCGGAGGAACACCGAUGGCGAAGGCAAUCCCCUGGGCCUGUACUGACGCUCAUGCACGAAAGCGUGGGGAGCAAACAGGAUUAGAGACCCGAGUAGUCCCUGUCUCUUAUAA
RNAcentral lists this ribosomal RNA (301 nucleotides) under uncultured bacterium. RNAcentral's name for it is "partial 16S ribosomal RNA". It matches the Rfam family "Bacterial small subunit ribosomal RNA", at positions 509 to 809 of the family's 1533-position model. The record is from RNAcentral.